AUUGAACGCUGGCGGCAGGCCGACCACAUGCAAGUAGAACGAGUGGCGGACGGGUGAGUAAUGUCUGGGAAACUGCCUGAUGGAGGGGGAUAACUACUGGACACGGUAGCUAAUACCGCAUACCAUCGGAUGUGCCCAACUGGGAUUAGCUAGUAGGUGGGGUAAAGGCUCACCUAGGCGACGAUCCCUAGCUGGUCUUAGAGGAUGACCAGCCACACUGGAACUGUGACACGGUCCAGACUCCUACGGGAGGCAGCAGUGGGGAAUAUUGCACAAUGGGCGCAAGCCUGAUGCAGCCAUGCCGCGUGUAUGAAGAAGGCCUUCGGGUUGUAAAGUACUUUCAGCGGGGAGGCGUUACCCGCAGAAGAAGCACCGGCUAACUCCGUGCCAGCCGCCGCGGUAAUAC
Molecule: ribosomal RNA, 406 nt
Filed under: uncultured bacterium
Lineage: Bacteria
Description: partial 16S ribosomal RNA
Rfam family: Bacterial small subunit ribosomal RNA
Source: RNAcentral